GACGUAGGGGGCCAGCGUUGUUCGGAAUUACUGGGCGUAAAGGGUUCGUAGGCGGUGCGGCAAGUUGGGAGUGAAAUCUCUGGGCUUAACCCAGAGGCUGCUUCCAAAACUGCUGUGCUUGAGUGUGGGAGAGGCGCGUGGAAUUGCAGGUGUAGCGGUGAAAUGCGUAGAUAUCUGCAGGAACACCCGUGGCGAAAGCGGCGCGCUGGACCACUACUGACGCUGAGGAACGAAAGCUAGGGGAGCAAACGGG
RNAcentral lists this ribosomal RNA (253 nucleotides) under uncultured bacterium. RNAcentral's name for it is "partial 16S ribosomal RNA". It matches the Rfam family "Bacterial small subunit ribosomal RNA", at positions 524 to 776 of the family's 1533-position model. The record is from RNAcentral.